Molecule: non-coding RNA, 23 nt
Filed under: Cricetulus griseus (Chinese hamster)
Lineage: Eukaryota; Metazoa; Chordata; Mammalia; Rodentia; Cricetidae
Source: RNAcentral
GCUAAGGCAUGAAGUUAGGAGAG